Long non-coding RNA from Symphalangus syndactylus (siamang), 644 nucleotides. RefSeq lists it as uncharacterized. NCBI's taxonomy places the organism in Eukaryota, Metazoa, Chordata, Mammalia, Primates, Hylobatidae. The record is from RefSeq and is a predicted model, not a curated record.
AAGCCUCCAUGGAAGGCUGCUCUGAGGGGUAUUCUGCUAAGUGUCAUCCAGGCAGAACGUGGAGAAGCUCUUCGAUUGCAUCUCUCCCCUGCCUUAUUGUUUCCUGCUGCCCUUGAUGCUCCACUGUUCGGGCUAUUGCAAGGUUAGAAGGAUGCUCACGACCAACAAGGCAGAGUCCUUUGCAUAUGGCCUUGAGGAUAUGUGCUUCUGAAGUCUAACAAUUUUGUGGCCAGGAGGAUCAAAACCUUCAUGGAGUGCCUGAAUAUUUCAUUACAGAUCUAGAGCUGGAAACAAACACCCACAUCGGAUGAACUAUGUAUUCAUUUUGCUCCAAUGAGAAAACCUAAAUUUGGAGAAAUGGAGCAUGAUUUUACUACCAUCAACAAAAACCAAAAUACGACUGGGAAUAUGACUUUUCAACCUAUAAAAGACCCCCUCCAGUCCCAUCAAACUGCAAAGGAGGUCGGGCACAGUGGCUGACGUCUAUAAUCCCAGCACUUUGGGAGGCCGAGGUGGGUGGAUCAUGAGGUCAGGAGUUCGAGACCAGCCUGGCCAACAUGACCUGCAUCAAGAGCUGCUAAAGGAUUUCUCUUCAUCAUCACUUAAGUGCAAUCCAGCAGCAACUAUUACAUCUGAUAAACUGC